This 255-nucleotide ribosomal RNA is filed under the name uncultured bacterium. Its description in RNAcentral is "partial 16S ribosomal RNA". It matches the Rfam family "Bacterial small subunit ribosomal RNA", at positions 524 to 777 of the family's 1533-position model. The record is from RNAcentral.
UACGUAGGGGGCAAGCGUUGUCCGGAAUCAUUGGGCGUAAAGCGCGUGUAGGCGGCUCGGUAAGUCUGCUGUGAAAGCCCAGGGCUCAACCCUGGGAUGCCGGUGGAUACUGUCGAGCUCGAGUCCGGAAGAGGCGAGUGGAAUUCCUGGUGUAGCGGUGGAAUGCGUAGAGAUCCGGAAGAACACCGGUGGCGAAGGCGGCCCGGCUGGGCAACUGCUGACACUGAUGCGCGACAGCGUGGGGAGCAAACAGGG